AUUGAACGCUGGCGGCAUGCCUUACACAUGCAAGUCGAACGGUAACGGGCCUUCGGGUGCCGACGAGUGGCGAACGGGGGCGUAAUACAUCGGAACGUGCCCGAUCGUGGGGGAUAACGAGGCGAAAGCUUUGCUAAUACCGCAUACGAUCUACGGAUGAAAGCAGGGGGCCGCAAGGCCUUGCGCGGACGGAGCGGCCGAUGGCAGAUUAGGUAGUUGGUGGGAUAAAAGCUUACCAAGCCGACGAUCUGUAGCUGGUCUGAGAGGAUGAUCAGCCACACUGGGACUGAGACACGGCCCAGACUCCUACGGGAGGCAGCAGUGGGGAAUUUUGGACAAUGGGCGCAAGCCUGAUCCAGCCAUGCCGCGUGCAGGAUGAAGGCCUUCGGGUUGUAAACUGCUUUUGUACGGAACGAAAAGCCUUCUUUUAAUACAGGAGGGUCAUGACGGUACCGUAAGAAUAAGCACCGGCUAACUACGUG
Molecule: ribosomal RNA, 482 nt
Filed under: uncultured bacterium
Lineage: Bacteria
Description: partial 16S ribosomal RNA
Rfam family: Bacterial small subunit ribosomal RNA
Source: RNAcentral